GCGAUGCACUCCCAAUCUAACUUUGAGGCAUUAGAUUAGGAUUGGAUCACUGCUCAGUUUCAGAGUCAUAGUAACCUUGUUAUGCAAUUCUCCUGCUGGGCAGCACGCUGUAGUACAGUAGUUUGCAGCUGAUCUAGGUCAGAAUUUGAAUUCUGAUAAACAAGAUGUGCGCGUUUUCUUGUUGCCGAUUUAAAAGAAAAGCCUUUGCAUCAUAUAAGCAAUAAAAAUAAGUGCUGGACUAUUAACUCUAUACUCGCUACCGACAUUUCCAUCUUCAUGAUUAACAUCUGAGUUGCAUUCAAAUUACCAAAUUCAAAAGACCCGCCUUUGGUGAAGACAAAAUUUGUGGUGCUUUUAUACACAUAUAAAGAGCUUAUAUCAGAGGAUAGACGUACUUCAUUGGGAGCC
Saccostrea cuccullata (small rock oyster) is the source of this 408-nucleotide long non-coding RNA. RefSeq lists it as uncharacterized. NCBI's taxonomy places the organism in Eukaryota, Metazoa, Mollusca, Bivalvia, Ostreida, Ostreidae. The record is from RefSeq and is a predicted model, not a curated record. The transcript is spliced from 3 exons.